Molecule: unclassified non-coding RNA, 353 nt
Filed under: soil metagenome
Description: partial contains 5.8S ribosomal RNA, internal transcribed spacer 2, and large subunit ribosomal RNA
Rfam family: 5.8S ribosomal RNA (bases 1-120)
Source: RNAcentral
GAUGAAGAACGUAGCGAAAUGCGAUAAGUAAUGUGAAUUGCAGAAUUCAGUGAAUCAUCGAAUCUUUGAACGCACAUUGCGCCCGCCAGUAUUCUGGCGGGCAUGCCUGUUCGAGCGUCAUUUCAACCCUCAGGCCCCCAGUGCCUGGCGUUGGGGAUCGGCGCGGCGCCCUCCGGGGCGCUGCCGGCCCCGAAAUUCAGUGGCGGUCUCGCUGUAGCCCUCCUCCGCGUAGUAGCACAACCUCGCGGCCUGGAGCUCGGCGGUGGCCAUGCCGUAAAACACCCCACUUCUGAAAGUUGACCUCGGAUCAGGUAGGAAUACCCGCUGAACUUAAGCAUAUCAAUAAGCGGAGG